Molecule: non-coding RNA, 2688 nt
Organism: Delphinapterus leucas (beluga whale)
Lineage: Eukaryota; Metazoa; Chordata; Mammalia; Artiodactyla; Monodontidae
Source: RefSeq, a predicted model, not a curated record
CAGAAGGCUCAGGGUUCAGACAUCAGAACACUGGGUCCUGGUCCCAAGUCUCCUCAUCACAGUGGACGAAAUUUCAUUCCAGCCCAUCUUUUCUGAGCCAAGCGCUGUGCUGGGCAUAUUCACAUGCAUUAUAUUCAUGCAACCCUCACAGGGUCCUAGGGAAACUUAGGCUCAGAGGAGUUAAGGGGCUUUCCCAAGUUCACCAGUGAGUGGGUGGGAGAUCUGAGACCAAGACCCAGUCUGGCUGACCCUGGUGGAGGCUUCCUCUUCCAACUCACCCGGCCUCUCCCUCCUGAUGGUCUGUCUUCAAAGCCCUCCAGACUCCUUCUCCAGGACCCUGUAAUUCCUUCAUUACAGCUGUGCGGGACUCCUCUGGUCUGGAGCUGGUGUACCCCCUCGCAGAGGGAGUCCCGCUGUUCAUGGAGGGGCGUGAGUUCUGAUCACUAUGGGCACCUGCUCUCUCACAAGCAUAACUAUCGUUGCUGGAAAUGACAAGAGGACCUAAGGAGCACUCUGUAAAGCGGACAGAGUAAGGCAGACGGGUUAAGGGCCCCAGGACUGGAGGAACAACACGGCGGCAGGAUGUCUUAGAUCCCACCCACCCACAGAAGAAGGAGACCCAGGCCCAGUUUCUCUAUUAGCCCCAACCUGGCCACAGAAGGCAACCCAGAUAAGGAAAUUGAAGCUCAGAGAGGUACAGUGAGUUGCUAAAGAUAGCACAGCUAGCAAGCUGGGUAAUCGCGAUUUAUACCUGAGGUUCAGCUGCAAUCCAGACCGCAACCCUCAACACCUCUUGCUUUUCCGUCUCUUCCUCCCAUCUGCUCCUCUCACCUGCCGCUUCCUGCUGGGCCAAGCAGAGCAGGAAACAGGGAAAAAUGACUCCCCUGAGGUGAGAGAUAAUGGGGGCAGCUCCUGGGGCCGGUGAGGGUGAAAGUCCUGUCGCUCGCUGCCCCCUCAGCACCUGGGGCAUCUGCAGAUUCCCCCAGAGCCCUGCACCUGACACCGAGGUUGCCCCUGCUCUCCUUCCAGAGCGGGCCUGAGGAAGUCAGUGCACCUGACCGUCAUGCUCAGUUAUUCAUGCCAGUAAGAGUUUCAUUGAAAUUUCACGACAGUCAUCAUGUCAUCAAACAGCUGACGAUGGCCUUGGAUCUUUGCCGGAGUCCCGCGGUCCCACAGCAGAGAUCUUCAUGCAAAGUCUUUCAACCCUCACAAAUCAGUUCUGAUAACAAGCCCUCUUGUGAUUGUCGCAAAGUCCAAAGUGGGGCAGAUGCAGCACCCUGGUGACUGUGGUUGAAGAAGGCCCUCGCCGGAGCAGGGCUGUGGGGUCUGCUGGCCACUUGGUCCUGGCCUCUGGUUCCAGGAGACAGUCUCUGACAUUUACCCAGCGAGAUCCAUGGGAUGAUUCCAGGGAGAUUCCUGGGAAUGGAAUUGCUGGGUAUUAUGCACGUUUCAGAACCUGCAGCAUUAAAGACCAGCUGGGAUGCCGUCUGGAGCGGUCCAUUCCCAGCACCUUCCUGCUUCCUGCUUCUCCGCCCCGCCCAGACCAGUGGGCUGGUUUCCUCCUGAUUGUUGCUCCCUUGGAAAGAAGGGCUUGAAUCCACUUCUGUCUGCCUCAAAGCCUCUUGACAACCUACUCCACCCUCCUGCAGGCCCCCCGAUGUAGACGACGAUGGUGGUAAAAAUGGUCCAGGUGUUGCGGAUGAAGCGAGCUGAUGAUUGCCGCAGGGGCAGUCGUGCCUGUCUUGUUCACUUCUGCACCCCUAACGCCAACAGCCGGAGCCCAGGACAUAGCAGAUACUCAAUUAAUGGUCAUGAAUGAAUGGAAAAAUCAACAAACAAAGUGCUUUGAUUUGGCUGCAGCCCAGAGGACCGGUCGGGACUCCUGGGACCGUGGAACGGAGAUCUCGAGUGCCGGGGUGGUUUAUUUUUCAUUCCUUUGAUGAUGGGUUUAGAGUUGAGGCAAGGCCUGAAAAGAAAGGCAGCUGGGUCCAGCAGCACAGCUAAGUGGGCCAUUUGGGGGCCGAGGAAAGGGAUAUCACUGGUCUGAUGGUCCCUAUUGGUCUUAGCAAAUCAGAGCCUCCCUGGUGUUCCCCAGUGGAUGGCAAUGAGGAAGGAUGCCAGUGCACUGCCGCCCUCCACACUGGCCGCAGAGAAGAGUAACCUCUGCCCUCUCCAGAGCCCGGCUCUGCUCUCUGCUUCCCUCCAUCCCUCAAAUGGAAAAGAAGGUGAUGGAUGGUUUGUCUCCUUGCCUGUUUCCUUCUCUGACAAAGUCAGUUACCCUGUGAGGCAUGGUUCCAUCCAUCUUACCUGGAGUCAACCAGCUUUUCUGCCAAGUGCCCAGAACACAACCCAAUGGAGACAGGCUGUGUCCCUGACUCCUGCUGGAUCCCCACGGAAUCCCUGGUCUUCCCUUUGGAAGGGGAACAUUGUGGCAGGGCCGCAGCUGAGGUGCUUUCAUCCAUCCUGAGCAGAGCUCGCUGAGACGCCCUCCGUGUAGCCAGGCCUGUUCCUGUGGCCCAACAACGGGGAGGGUUUGCAGAGUCUGGCACUGGCUGCUUCCUUUGCGAGGCAGGGAGCACCGUGAAAGGACGCCUACCCAGGCAGGCACACUUUCAGAGCCAGGCUGUAUACCGUCAACAGGGCCCCCGCCCCAUGCUCGCAGGCACAAAGACAAAUGGCCAAGGGGAG